Molecule: long non-coding RNA, 16601 nt
Organism: Peromyscus californicus insignis
Lineage: Eukaryota; Metazoa; Chordata; Mammalia; Rodentia; Cricetidae
Exons: 11
Source: RefSeq, a predicted model, not a curated record
CGCGGAGCGUGGGAAGAGCGGGCGGAGCUGAGUCCGCAGCGUUGCGCCUCCCGCGGGUUGCUGCGCCGCGGGGCUGCGAUUGCUGUGCUGCGCCGGAAGCCGCGGGCCGCCCAGAGAAACAGCAAGUGACAGAGCAGAGGACAACUGGCCCAGCCAAACCUGUUGCUGCUGCAGUGCUUGUUAUGUCAAAAUAGAGGGCUCUCUGGACCUUACCCCUCCCUUGCCAAGGCUUCUGGGUGUCCUUCUGCCAGGCUGUACAGAGUCUGCCUUUAGCCAGGGUGUGUUGGCCCCCACCUGCCACCCAGCAGGAUCAAGAUGUAGAACUCUCAACUCCUUCUCCAGCACCAUGUCUGCCUGCACACUGCCAUGCUUCCUGCCAUGAUGAUAAUGGACUAAACCUCCAAAACUGCAAGCCAGCCCCAAUUAAUUGUUUUCCUUUAUAAGAGUUGCUGUGGUCACAGAAACCCUAACUAAGACAGAAGUUGGUAUCAGGAGUGGGAUAUUGUUGUGAUAAGCUUGACCAUGUUUUUGGGACUUUGGGUUAGGAAAGCAGUAGAAUGCUUUAAAUGCUGCUUAAUAGGCCAUACUAGUAGGGACAUGGAAGACAGUUGUGCUGAGGGUGAUUUGAGCUGAGAGAUCCUGCCUCAAGAGGCUUCAGAGGAGAAUAAUUUUAGUAUGUUACCUAGAAAUCCUUCUUGUGAUAUUUUGGUGAAGAACGUAGCUGCUUUUUGCCCUUGUCUGAAAAGUUUGAGGCUAAAGUGAAGAGUUUUGGAUUAAUUGCAUUGGCAAAGGAAAUCUCAUAGAAGACUAAUACUGAUUCUGUCCUGUGGUUAUUAGUGUUUGCUCUUGUGAGGAUUUAUAAUGAAAACGGGCGAGCUGAGCAAGUGAAAAUACAAGAUGUACAGAUUGAGGAGAAAAGGGACACCAGAAAGUGAAAUAGAGCUAAGUCCUGUGUUCAAGGAGAUAAACAGAUGAAGAAAUGGAAUAAAGGGAGUGAUGACCUUAGGGCAAGACCCCACCCAGUUAAGCUUCCAGUUUGUGAAAAAGAAUUAAAGAAACACUUCGGUCUAGGCGUGGUGGACCUAACCUCAGUACUCAAGCCUUUAAUCCCAGUACUCAGAAGGCAGAGGUGAGUGGCUCUCUGAGUUUGAGGCCAGCCUGAUCUACAGAUAGAGUUUUAGGACAGCCAAGCUUAGGCAGUGAAGGAAGCCAUCAAACCAGAUGGUCAGUAAAGAUUUUUGAAAGAGGGGGCCAUGUUCCAACCCCAACAAGCAGCAGAAUUUGGCAGCUUCAGCCAUGUGGUUCUGGCUUUAGAAUCAAGGUUAGAAGAAAGGGGUUAUGGGAUCUCAGCUACAAAGGAAAGCCACUGAGGCCAGGCAUGUGUCAGGGGUGUCCCUGCAUGGAGGCCUAGAGAGGCCAUUGUGUGAAGCUGUGAAGGUGAAGCCUGGAUGGCCCUGGAGACCCCAUGAUGUUGGAGAUGCCAGAGCUGUGGGAUACCUGCCAAGGAAAGCUGCUAAUGGAAUGGAACCAGUCCAGAGAAAGAAGUGUGUUGCAGUCAACAAAGCUAAAAGGAAUUGGCGAGCUGAAGAGCAUUUUGACAUCAGACAUGGAGGACUUUAUAAGAGAUUGCAUGAAUCUCAGAAGAGACUUUGAACUUUGGACUUUUAAAUAUUGUUGAGGCUGUGAUAAGAGUAUGGGGACUUUUGAAGUUGGACUAAAUGCAUUUGCAUUAUGUUAUGGCUACAAGCCUUAUGGGAGCCAGGCCCCCAUAGACUCAUGUGUUUGAAUGCUUGGCCCAUAGGGAGUGGCACUAUUAGGAGGUGUGGCCUUGUUGGGGGAGGUGUGGCCUUGUUGGGGGAAGUGUGUCACUGUGGAGGCAGGCUUUGAGGUCCAUUAUAUAUGCUCAAGCUAGGCCUAGUGACACAGACUCCUGCUGCUGCCUACAGAUCAAGAUGUAGAACUCUCAACUCCUUCUCCAGCACCAUGUCUGCCUGCACACUGCCAUGCUUCCUGCCAUGAUGAUAAUGGACUAAACCUCCAAAACUCCCUGGCUGGUUUGGAACCCACUGCGUAGAACAGACUGGCUCCCAAGUGCAGAAAUCAUAGACAUAUGACACCAUGUCUAGCUACUAACUAUUCUUGAGGUCCUGCUCUGUGCCAGGCAAUGUAUUAGACCUUGGACAGACACCUGUGAGAAGAUGGUCAGGGCCUGACUGUCAGGGAUACUACAUUCUAAACAAAGUUUCUCCAAUACUUCAUCGUCAUCCAGCUUUCUUAAAGAGAAGCAAUACCUCUUUGUUGCAUUCUUUUAGUUCUUUCAUUCACCAUGUGGUCCAGGAACGUAUGAUUACAUCCUGGAAGGACCCUUCUCCAUUGUGUUUAUACAAGAGGCUAUGGAUUAUACAUUUGGAGUCAUUGCCCAACGGUUAUGAGCAGAAGCACACUUUUAAAAGCCCCUGCCUCAUGACUUUGGGCUCAUAGAAGCUCCAGAGGUGCUUAUGUCAUGUCAGACCCAUGGAAACUUCUUGAUCGUGUCCUCAGCUUCCUCUCUAGCUCUGCUGCCCCAGAAAUGUGCAAGUCAGUAGAGUCCAGGUGCUUACCUGAAGAUGCAAAAGAACUUGAACCAUCUUAUUCUGGGGUCAGGACUGCGACACCUUGUAUCUGGAUAGAGAUUUGGGUCUGCGCAGGAGACGACUGGUGGUCCAGUGAGGCUUAAGGACUUGAUGGCGUAACCUACUUCUCCCCCACAAAAGGGAAUUUUCCGAUCUGCCACACCUCAGUGUUGCGGCAAAAAUAAUUCUUGGCUCCCCUGGAAACCAUCGGGCAAGGUAGGGCAGAACUGCUGCUGCUGCUGUCGCGACCACCGUGGGCUUCCUACUGAGUGGGCUGCCCCCAAGUGAAGGGAUCUACACUGAUGCUCUGAUCAUCCAGAGGUCCUUAGAGCAGCUCUGAGCUGAGUCCACUUUGGAAGAACCUGCCUUUUGGAAGCUGCUUGGAAAGAGAACUCAACAGAGUACAACUCCAUCUCUAAGUAGGUGACAACCUCUUGGCAACUCAGACUCAGCUGAGGAUGAUGUUUGUGCAUCUAAGCCAUACUGCUGGUUAAAGCAGUUUGCUUGCAUUUUUAUAGAACAGAAAAGAGGAGCUACUUGACCACUCUGCUUUCAAUAGAUGCUGAUAGAUGAAAGGUCAUGCUGGAUGAAGUUGCUGAGGUGGAAUGAGGGCCAGUAGGAUGCCAUGUUUAGAGAAGGAAAGACUUGGGCACUCAAUAUGGCUAAAGGUGGUUAUGCCCUACAUCAAAUACAAGCUUCCAGUGUCUCCUCUGUUUCCUGCUUAACUUGCUCUGCUGAAGAAUAUCUUUUGACCUUUCUUCACUCUUUUGACCUUUUACUCUCUGUGCUUUCCUACAACCCUUCCUCUUCUUCCCUUUGAUUUUUUUCUUUAGGAUGAAUGAGGACAUUCUCAGCUGCUGGUCCAAGAGCCAUGUCUGUUCUUUCUGUUCUUUAUCUUUACCCCCAUUUAGCAAGGCAGGGAGAGGAAGUUGUCCUGGGAAGGAAGGUGUGUAGUGAAUAAGCCCAUAGUGUUGGGUGGUGGAGUAUGGUAGAUUAGAUAGUCUUUUCCUUCUCGUAGGUACUCUUGAUUCACCAAUUUAUGUGGCUCCAUGACCUCAGCUGUAGUCUGAUGUGACAUGGACCUAGUCUUGUUGGUGGACUAAUAUCAGGCUGCUGAUUAGAAACUAGAAGCAACAAAGGAAAGGCCUGAGCUUUCCUCCCAGAUAGGUGGAGUGUGUUUGCUCCCUGGAUCUGUUCCCUCAAACUUUACCAUUCAGAACCUCCAACAAUUGUUCUUUUCUUUCCAUUCCUCCAUUCCUGGCUUUUCUGUGAAUGGGGUGAGUAACUAGCAGAGUGCUGGCAUAAGGUCAGCCUGCUCAACUAGCUAGGCUGUGAGAUAUUUGGGAGACAUCUGGGCAGCACUGUAGACAGGGUAUGGUAGUACCAGGGCACUUUUACUUCCCACAGUUGUGGGAAGGAAGCUUCUUGGCUCCUGACAUCUAACCUGAGCUUAUUCUGGGUGUAGUUCCCUUUACAGUCCCUAAGGUUCUGGGAACUGCCCAGGGCUCAAGCAUGCUCUUUCCUCUGAAGAAUGGGUAUUUUGGACACAUUGAGCUUUUAAGGAGCUUAGGCUAGGUCUGGGGUCUAAAGUUUAGACUGGGCUGAGCAGUGACUGGAUUCUAGCUUUUUCUCUACUUGGGAUUUUCCUUUGAACAAAUCAUUUUCUUCUUUAGGCCUCCAAUUUCUUCAGAAUAUCUCCAGGCACUUGACAGGGAAACACUUUUCCUCUACCUUACAACAACAGCAGUGUUGAGUUAAAGUGGUGAUGUCCCUCAAAACUAGAAUGACAGCUCCAUUGUAGACACAAACCAGAAAGCAGACAGCAGGUGCUUGCUGCGAUACUCAGAAGUCCCGGUCUAUCAUUGCUGGCAGUGUUCUUGGCCCCUAGGGCUACUGGGAACUAACAGCCAAAUGUCUAGGGUCUAAAGAGAAAAGGAAUAAUCAUGGAUAAUUCUACUAGGUACCUGUAGAAUCUCAACCCCAGCCAGGUCAUGCAGCUACUCUACUGGCAUUAUGUAGAUGUGUUUUACCUUCCCUGCCCCCUCCCACUACUGUCCAAGGAAGAUUAAUGAAUCCGACUCACAUAUUUGAUUGUCUUGUCUCUCCCCUUGAGACAAGCCUCUGAGAUCCCUGCCAAGAAAGCCAGUUUGGAUGAAUUAUCUGUUAUUUUAAGGAGCUGGACAAAUUCAGUCACUGCCUCAGUGGUGUGUGAGGGACAGCUGGGGAAUGGAGGGGCGGAAGUUUGACAAAAAGGUAAGUUCAGUCAGCUCUACAGCUGGGAGGUAGAAAGGAAUAAACAUGGUUCUUCAAGAUGAGCCCCACUGGGAGGCUGAAGCCAGAUGUGCCGCUAGCUGUACUUCAGAACCCUAGGUCUUGUGCCCAACUCUAGUGACCUCUGCUACCAUUCACAACCCUUCCUUUGCCUGAUUUGGAAAGUAGGUGGAGAGCAAAGGGGAUCUUGGCUUUGCCUUUUGUCACACAGCUGUCUCUGUAAAUUAGGGCUGCACCACCCUGCCCAUUUCCCUCUUUCAGACCCUCAUCUAAUGCUUUGCUCCUAGUCACUAACCUGCCUUCUGCUGUGUGACAGGCAGAAUUGCGCAUUGCCAGCCAAGCAGGCAGGACAGUUAGCAUGCCUUGUAGGAUCUAAGCAUGCCUGGCACUUUUCCCUUGGCCUCAUGUGAGUUCUGCAAGACAGCUGUGGUACUGAAGAUGAAAUGGCAUGGCUGACCAUAGUAAAAUGCAAGGUGCCCUACCCAAGGACCUGAUUGGUCCACACCAUCUGGAUUCCAUGGUAUCCUUUCCUUACUGGGGCUAUGAAUUGUUCAGUGCAUAUCUUGGCUUUAUCCUCUGGCUUUGGUGUGUCCCCAAGACUGCAGCCUUAGAGGAGGAUGUGAACUCUCAUAGGUCACUUUUUUAUACAUAUGUUGUGCCUCUGGGAUAAGUAAGAGAUAAUGUCCUUUUAAUCAGCCUGCCAUCUAUAGGAGGACAUUGCUUUCCUUCCUUUUCCUGGUCAGUGGCCAUGAGGAAAGCAUACACUGGGUUUGGUUCCUUGCUGGUUCCUUUCCACUGCUUAUGGGUUGAUAAGCAAGAAAAUACUCAUGAGGCCCCAUGGUCUGUACAGAGCCUGGUGCUGUAGAGUCAUGCCUAUGUGGGUAGAGUACAGGAAUAGGGUGAAGGGAACCACACAGGGCCGUGGUUGUUUGUGGUUGGAUAAUAGGAACAAGUAACGAGGGUGUGGGAAGACACAUCCAAAUGUCUAGGCUCUAGGCAGGGUGGAGCCAGGAUGAGUCUCUAGUGAAGCAAGGAGAUGGCAUCAAAUAUCUUGGUCUCCAUAUGCCAUCCAUGGAAGAGGAAACUGUUCUCCCACACUUGGUUACACAGAUAUUAUUUCCUUUAUAUUGUUAAUGAAAGUGUAAUUAUUGAAUGAUUUAAAUUAAAGUCACACAAUUGAUGAGUGAUGUUGAGAUUUGAUUCAGCACUUCUGAUUCCAAAGCCCUGUUUUCUCCUCACCCUUGGGCUGAGGUCAGACAUUUUUGUGAAUUAACAUCCUCAAGAAAUUAUAUAAUCUCAAGUGAAAGCAAACUUUCUAUGUCCUAGCAAGGCUGUACACAUUCCUUUUUGGGGGAGGUGAGGCAGAUGUUAUUUGGUGUCUGUGGAAGGGGUAAAAAUUCUCUUCUAGAUGUAGGGGACAGUACUAGGUGCUGGAAGUCCAGAGGCCCAAGACUAGGUUUCUUCUUGUGCUGUGGGUGUAAGAGUUCCAAUAACAAAGCAGCAUAAAAUACACAGUAGGCAUAGGUAACACUGUGUGUGGAUGAGGAAGAUACCACCCACUGAAAAUAUGGUGACUAAUUUCUGUCAUGUCAGCACUCAGGAGGCUGAACCAGGAAACUUGAGUUCCAGGCUUGCCUGGGCUAUGUAGUGAGACCUUAUCUCAAAACAAAACAAAACACAGAAGAAAAAAGGGGUCCAGAUGAUAGACAAGUCCUGAAGCGCCUCAGUACCCUGGGAAACUGUCUUAGUUGGGCUGUCUUCCAAAAGAUUAGAACUGAUAUGGACACCAACUCCUUUUUUCCCUAGGCAUUAAAAAAAAAAAAUCCUUACAAGUUCUCUAUAGCUCACAGAAGCAUGUACUAGGUUAGGAAUCAAGGUGGGAGGAGAGGUCAGACUCUGAUCCACCAUCUUAAUGUUAUUUUCACUUUGUAUGGCUGCCCUUAACCUCUGUCUUCUUCUUUCAACCCUCAUCAGGCAUUAGCUGCCUUUGUGCCUCAGUCUAAUCACUGUGCCUUUCUUGUCUGUGCAGCACAGGGAACAUUCAGGUCAGGUCUUUGCUAAGUCACUAAGUAUGUGCUUACAGGAGGCUAAUUUGAAUCCCAGUCUCUGCUAAGACUAUGGUUUCUUCAGGAAACUGACAAGCCCAGGUGGGGAGAAGUCACCCAGUGUUAGAUCCUUUGUGUGCUGUGUGCUCUGUGAGGUCGAGGUGGGCCAGUGGUGCUGAGCCACAAGUGCUUCUGCUCCAUGGUGUUCAACUUCAGGACUCAGAACUUGUUUGCUUGGAAAGAGGUGACUCUGGUGACCCAGGCUAUGCAGUUCCCUCCUCCUUGGCCUAACAUUGCUGCUUGGGACUACUCAAAAUAUAGGAGCUGCCAUUGGCUGAAAGUGCCAAAAGCUGCACAGGGAUAAGGUGAUGUGUGGUUAGAGGUUAUGGCAUGGGGAAAUAGGUCAGGGAAAGUGGAUUUAUGCUGUUUUGUGUUCAUUCCCGUGAACACAAGUCAGUUUACUUGUCUGUGAAACAGGUUCUGAAUGAGGAUCCUGUUGGAGGUUCCAACUCAUGUUACCUCUAGGCCUGUCCUGGAUGUUUGUGCAGUGUUUGCUUAGCCAGAAACUCAAGGCCAGGAAAAUGAACCCAUUUGAGAGAGAAAACCAAGUUUUGUUCCAAAGAGGCACCCUAGCUAGUGCUAGUGUGAAUGAUGGUUGGUGAUGGGCUUUGGGUAGGUAGUAGGAAUGUGUUUUUGCAUGGGUGGCAGUGAAGAGAAAGGGUUAACUGAGUGAAAGUAGUUGGUGAGGACCUACUAGGUGACAGGAUAGGACACUGUUCCCUCUUAGAGACAAGUAAGAGAUGUGCAUAUGGGAGCUGGCUGUGGUGCAGGACAUGGAUUGAAAGACCCUGUAUGUUCAAGGGAGAUGUUCUGUUCAAGGCCUGCUCCUGUGCCUCCUUUGCACAGUAAGUGUGGUUGGGACUCAAGCCUAUCUGCAAUGUGACAAAAAUUCUCCAAAGCUGCCUGGGUAGGAGCUCCAGGGCCAAGGAACAUGUGGAACAGUCUUAAGGAUUCUCAGGAGCUUUAAGGAGCCUUAAAGUCACUACACACUUAGAUCUCUUGACAUUAGCUGGUUCACUGAGUCAUUUCCCAACACUGAGCAGAGGGGUAGCAUUGGUCUUGCCAUGACUGAACUGAGCCAGGAAGAGCCCUCUCAGGACCCAAUUGCUUGUUCCCAGCUUUGGAUUUCCAACCCAAGUCCUCUACUCCAGCUAGACCAGGGGUUGGAGCAGAGCAUUGAGGUCCUUAGCAGUGUUCUGGAUCUCUGAGGGCUUCACUUCUUACUUUGCACAUUGGAGAAGAGAAGGAAAACUAAGAAUAUCUUUAUUCUCCUGCCCUCUGUUUCUCUGACUGGUUGGAGCUCUUGUGAGAGCUGGCUUGCACUCGGCUAGAAUGCCAGGCAUCCCCAUGUUCCUGAAAAGAUUUCUUGUUAAGGCAUUUGACACCUUCAGAGUUUUUCCAAUGAAUCCGGGCAUGUUUCUGCUGUGUGUUGCUCACUGAGAGGAAGUCUCACUGUGGCAACUUUGAGUUUUCUCCCGUUCUAUUUGUGAGGGAUGCCUGGAGCUUUCCCAGCAUGUGUGUUGUGUCUGUGUUACCUGUUUGCUGGCUAACAUAUAUCACCACUGGAAGCACUGGCUAAUGUGCUGCAUAGUUAGAUGCUGGGAAUACUGUCAUCAGCUCAGAACCCUUGCCGCAUGAUCAGUGUGGAAAAAUAGGCCUCCCUUGUAUCGGAAAAGCGAGUCAGAGGAGUGAUGGGCACCAGGCUUCUUUGAGUCCUGAAAACAGUCCUCAAUUUUUUAAGGGGUGCUGAGGCUGAGUAUUGGGCUGUAUGACCUCUUGACUAUUCAGCCUCUAAGUGACCUUUAUUUUAAUAGAUCAGGGCUCUGACGAAGGGCUAGAGAAGUGCUUGCUUUUGCUUAUCAUGAACUUGGGCAUGAAUGAUUAGACUUUCUCUGGGAGUGUUCCCUUCAGAACAUUUGAGGUGGACAGGGUCAGCUAACAUCUGUGUCUGUUUAUAAGCGUCUGUCCCUCUCUGCUCACUGAAUGCAACUAUAGUUUGAAUGGGAGGGUGCAUGGGAGUACUUUUGAUGGAGGAUACUUGUAGCAUCCUGUGAAUUUGUCUUGUAUUAGAGUUGGUUCUUUCUAGUCACCUGGAGAAUGAAAAAGAGAGUGGACCCAACCCAAAGCUGUGAGGGAAAUUCAUGUAGAUGUCAUGAAAGGCCUGUGUGUAACUUUGCUGAGUUCCUAAAGGAAGGUAGAACCUCCUGAGGAGGAGACUUUGGCUGCUCUUGUCAGGUCUGCCUAGCCCUGAGGCUAGGGACUUUGAGACAGUCCCUGAAAUUAUGUGGCCAAGGUUCUAGGAUAUAAAGUGGCUCCUUGGUUCUACCUUUAAUCAACCCUGGCUGCCUUUAUAACAUCCUUAAGCUGGGAGUGUAGAGGAGACAAUGUAGGCACAGAACCUAUGCCUAUAACCCAUUUUCCUUUGCAGAGAGCUUAUGAGAACUGUUCUUAAUUCUCAUAUAAAAACUAGAGAAAGUAUAUAUCUUCCAGGAAAUAUCUGUUCUAUUCCUGUAUUUGUAUCAUUACUACUCCUACCCUGGGCCAUUACUGAAGUGAAGUGGAUACUUGACAAUCAUUGUAGUUGGGAGAAAGGUAAUAGAGGAAGCAAGAUCAGAUGAAGUUUUCUAAGGAAGAAGGUAGGAGAAGAGUUUGAGUAGACUCACAACUCUGGGAGUCACGGGCAUUGGUUUUGGUGCUAAAGGCUUAGUUGUAUGUUGAAGUGGACAUACUACUUAGAGGGAACCAGGAGUGUUAAAUGAUUAAUUAAUGGCUCAAUAAAAGUUGUGCUAAGUAUGGAAAAUCCUAUGUCCUUUUGAGUUAUUUGCUAGCUGUAGAUUUAGUAUCACAAGGCUUGAUAAGACAGGCCUGUCUUAAGUUCACACUUACUAUUGACUUUCUUCCUCCUUCUUUUCCUUAGCCAUUUCUGAAUAUAGUCAUUUCAAUCUAUGGAGGAUUGGAUCCACAGAUGCUGAAGUCCUUCUGUGAGGUGAAAACAAUUUAUACACAUCCUCUCAUGAACUUUCAACCAUGCCCAGAUUUCUUAUAAUACCUAACUCAAAGUAAAUGCUGCCAAAUAAUGCUUAAAGAAUUCUUUAGAGGAUAGUGGUUAAAAAGUCUGUGCAUAUAAAGUAGUGUAGUUCAUAUUUAUAUACACAUGUUCAUGCACAAUGAUUGGAGUGCAGGGAGGCAGAACCUGGGGAUAUGGACGACUGACUAUAGUCAUGUGCAGUUACAUUGCCACAUUCUUGAAGUACAGGUUUUCUGGUAUCAGUGAAUGAGUGACUUUGAUUUGGAGUAUAAACAGACUGCCCACUGCAGGGACCUUUCUGUCUCCAGGGUUUAGCUGCCUAUAGACCCUGGUAGAGAUCAGGUUGCCCUAUAGUAGAUACCUAAUUUGGAGUGGUGGUUGUUUAGGUAUGCCAAUCCUAAACCUGAUCAGCUCAAAUUCUAAUAGCUUUGGAUAUCUAAGACCACAUGCUGCUCUUCUAGGUGCUAGGCACAGAGAGGGAGGGAACACUGCCUCUGGCCACUGGCUGCUCUCCAAAACAGGUGAACUUUGUGUUCAAAAGGAAUGCAUUUAAUCUUUUGGGCCUAAUAGGAGUUACUUGUAUUUUCUCUCCUUUUUGCCCUCCUUUCUCUUCACCCCCAUCCUUGCUGCCUCCCCAGCCACCAAAGAAUUUAAUCUGCUGGACAACAAACAAUACAGUUAUAAAACUUUGAAAACAAGAGGGUGCGGCCUCCCCAGUGAGGAAAAGGGCAUGCUGGGUAAUGGCCCCAGGGAAAAUGCCAGGCUUGAGAUUGAGCCUGUGAAAGCCCAGUUGGCUGGGUACCUGAGUGGCUGCCCUGCCCUGCCCAGUUCUAAGCUAUCUCCAGUCCAGAAAGGGGACAGAAAAGGGCUUGUAAAGGGGAAGUUGUGCAUGUUCCCCUCUGAUGGGAAUGCACUAGACUGUGAAACUUCCUCCUCUGCCUCUUCUGACUCUCUUCUCCCUCCUUUUCCAUUUCCCCCCUCCCACCUCCCUGCUCCUUCCACCUCCUCCUCCUUUUUCUUGAGACUAGCAGACAGAAGUUAUAACUGAAAAGGGUUAGAAUAGCAUUGUAGGUGCCGCUACUAGCUGGGACUGCCAAAGGUGAAACAGGGUUUGGGGCUUGUGUUGCCUAGAGGCUCAGACAUAUCUCUGCUAAGCCUAACCUCUCUCCCCAACCUGGAGCAUGCAGCCACAUAUACAUCAUAGCCUGUGCUCCAGCCUGUGUACUGCCAGGUGUGUGCCCAUAUACUGGGCAGAACUGCCACUAGGAGAUCAAUAGGUCCACCCUGGCUUCCUGGUGCCUGCCUAGGGCUGUGCUGAGGAGAAUGGCUAACUGAAAUGCUUUCUUCUGAGAGUGUGUAAAACACUCCACAGGAGGAGUGAGGCUUGUUGCAGAGAACUCCUGGGAACCCAGUGAGUAGGCACAUGAUCCAGUGAGUAUGGCAUCAGAUAGGAUGUUGUGUCUUUCCCUUCCCUUGCUUUUUGGCAGGAGGAGGAGGAAUUGACCAGUCCUGGCUGGUGAGUUAGGGAAGUUGGACUUGGGUAUCUCCGCCCUGACCUGAUUAAGCUGGUAUCCUUAUUGAACCCUCUCCACUGAGCCAUAUAGACCAUUUGGGAAUGUUAAAGGCGUAGGCUAUGUAGGUCUGGGGCCAUGAACUUUGUGGUCGGCAUUGGAAGACCACAGGCAGGCUUGCCUUUCCUCUUGUGGCAAGCUUCAGCUUCCAUGGAAGUGCUUCUGGGCAGUGUUUUUCCUUCCUGUGAGAGCAAAGCCCUCUGCCACAAGGAGGGCACAUUGCUCUCUAGCCUUCACUCUGUACCUGCCUCCCUCCUUCUUUACUAUGUGUAUUUCAUCCCAGAAGGCAGCCGUAGUACCAUGCCUUGUCUAGCCCAGAUAUUGUGCCAGGACCUUAGUGCCCUGUAUGGAAUCGCACUAAGUUUGGGAGCUUUUGAGACCCAAGACUUGUUCAGUAACAUUGAGGAAGAGACAGAAAAAUCUAAUUUUUAGAAUGUGGUUCCCCAGGAACAUAGGUCUCCAUAUCUCUAACUCAGUGAAGCCAAGAGAGGCUGGCCUCCAUGGACUUUUGAAACCUUUGCUUCUCACUUGGUUACCCAAGCAGGCACUUGCAGGACACACUGAGUCUCAAGGGUACUAUGCCCACUUUGGGAAUCAGUUGUCACUGAUGUUAGGCCAACAAGUUACAAAUUCCCCUUUAUUCAUGUAGCCUCAACAUAUAUCCCUUGUUUUUAUCACCCUUUCCUCUGAUUCAUUAACCACAGCUUGUUGGCAGCAUUCCCUACCUACCCUGACAGCCAAAGACAAAAUGUCCUGGAUGCUGGGCCUGGGCUACUGCUGAGAGUGACAGGAAGCCAGGCAGCCUGUUCAGUUCAUAUAUGUGCAGUCUCUCUUGGAGGUAAGAUGUUCCCUUUUCUUCCAAAAAGACCUUCCCUAGCCUCCCCUCCCAAAGAUAAGUUCUUUUAACUGGUGGGAAGCCCUAAAUCAGUCUUUAGACGCAGACAAGAAAAUGGAUGGCAGGCUUCUGUCACCCUCCCCCACUCUGGCUGGAACUCUCAUCAUGCAUAUAACUGUGACUCAGCACCCAAUGCUGGGUCAGGAAGGAGAAACUAUUGCCUGGCUGGAACCUUCCCACGUUCUGCAUGUGAGCGCAUCAGACAGCACAGGCUGGGCCACUAGGGUGAGGUUCCUGGAGCAAGUGUUUUCCCCUCCCACCGGUUUUCUUCCCACAUUUUUUGGGGUUCUGUUCUGGGCUCAGGAUAUUUAGGAUUCUAAAAAUCAUAGCAGUGGUCAUAGAUCACUUUUUAAUCUUUGUUUUUAGCCAGUGGCCCAUGAAGAGUGUUUAACCUUUAAUUGUACUGUCUGGCCUGCUUGAGUUGGUUUUUCUGUGUGUUAAUUUUGUAUAUCUCUAGACAGAAUAUGAUUUUCUAGAUUACUGUACCUCUCCUGCAUGCUGUUGCUGCCUCUGGCUAUUUCCUUCCUAAGCACUGUGUGUGUGUGUGUGUGUGUGUGUGUGUGUGUGUGUGUGUGUGUGUGUGAGAGAGAGAGAGAGAGAGAGAGAGAGAGAGAGAGAGAAUAUUGACCAGUUUUCCCUAGCCUACUCUACAGAUGAAUACACUAAAGCCAUUCAGGAUGAUGGCAGGGCCCUAUUUUCAGCAUGUAGAUAAGCAGGUGUUCUAAUUUACAAGGAGUGACCUUGCCUCCGCCCCUCUGGUCUCUGCCUUGCCAGAGAAGUGUUCUGUUAUGGGUGGGUAGAAUGGCCCCAGAGAGAAAUAGGUACAGGAACAGAUGAAAGCUGGAGAGUGGUGUCUCAGACUUCUUCCAUGUUCAGUUACCUUUUCAGUACUGCUAAGUGAGGUACAGUGAUUUCUUUCCUAGACAACUCCAUCAGACCUUGUAGCUUGAAGUUUACUUGAAGCCAUUUAAUUGAGGAGGGGGAUCCUAUUACUCACACUGAGAGCAGAGCCCUAGCAGCCCAAGGUUUUCAUGGGCUGCUGCCAUAGACAUCCCGGUGACUUUCAGGCCUGGUGCCAGAAAGCUAGAGCCUUCUAGACUUUAACAAAUCACCCAGUUAUUCCAAACUAGUGAAGAAUCAUCACCUUGUUGCAGAAAAGGGACAUUGCUCAGCUGACCAUGGGAAUUCUGCUUUUGUGGGAUGCUGAGGCCUGAGUGGAGUUGGAUGGACAAAGGGUCUGAAUGCUAAAACUACUUUUCUUUCCCUCUUCUGUAGCUUAGUGUUUAAAUCACCAUUCAGUGGUUCUUAUCUACCAGAAACCAGGGUUUGCAGUCCAAGAGUGGAACCUUAGACCUUACCUUUUCCUUCACUGGUAGUUUCCCCUUGUCAGGCAUAGCACCUCCCCUGGGCCUGGGCAGCAUUUCACUUGCUGGGUAGGAAGAAAGGCAUUAGCUUCAUGCCAUGCUGAGAACCAAAAGAAAUAGGUGUUUUCUAAAUUAAAGCAAACUGGGCUAGCCUUGGAGAAAGCUUUCUAGAGCUGAAAUAGGACAAAUGGGGGUGGCAGCGGAGGGAGUAGGUGGAGAGUUGCCAAAAGGAGGUAACAGCACAGGCUGAGAAUUCUGGGAGGAAGGGUGUGCCCUGUAUCCCUGCAGGAUAUCUCUUAACAUAGAGGAAGGGAGACUGAGGAUACUAGCAAUAGGAAGUUGCUAAGAAAAUUUGGCUGAAAUGAAAAUCAGAAAAGCUGAGUAUUAUAUGCAAAUCUCAUCUGUUCCCUUCAUUUACAGGGUUUUGACUCUUGUUAAUAACUUCCAUCUAAUAUAUUUACGACCUACCAUCUAGUUCAUAAGGCCCUAAUUUUGGCAACCAGUGUCACUGUCACUCAGGAACUCAGUGUACAAAUUUGCCUACACUCCUCUGUAGCUGAGACCCUGGAGAAGCCCAGGGAAGGUGCUGAGCCUUCUGUUUCUCCUCUGGCUGGCCCAGGUUCUUAGAAGCUAAGCCUAUCAAUGUCAUUGGUAGGCUUCAUUGCCAUCAUUCCCUAUUGCUGGGGAGGACAGAGGUACCAGUCAGGCAAUAGAGCAAAAGCAGGUUCUAGAAUACCUGACCCCCUUGCAGUACCAACACCAUGCGCCCUCAUCUUUACGCAGGUGUAGCAUAUAUUACAGGGAGUCUCUUUCACUCCCAUCCAGAUUGCCUGGGCUAAAUACCCCUCCCCAGUCUAGCUAAGAGUUCUCCUUGGAGAUUACAGUCAAGCUGUACAGACCAAGCAGUGGCAGUGGGCAGAGGGACAGGAAUACAGACAUUAGUCCAUCUGUUCCUAUGACUACAGUUUCUUGUGCAGACAUCAGAAUAAUACCUGCUUCAUUGGACUCUUGGAACAACUAAGUACUGUGACUCUCACAUUAUAUUUGCUCUAUUACCCUAUAGCAGCCAUAAAAAGAGAUAAGCUUACAUCUGGGGAGGCCAAAAAAGAGUUGCUGGGGAACCAGAAACAUGCAUCUCUAUUCUUUCUUCCAUGAGAUCCUCUUUCUUUGGGUUGUGACAUCAGAGGAAACACACAGCAAAGAGGCAGUCCAAUUUGAAACAUAGUUUGUAAAUCUUAUUUUCAGAUAAAUUUAAAAAAUGUACCUCAUUUUUGUGUUAGAGAAUUAUCUAUAUAAUACAAUAAGAUACCAGCUUUUAAAAUUAUUCUGCAUUAAAUCAAAUUGCCAGCCUAUGGGGUCAUGGGAUGGAAAGGAUGAACAUGUGAUCUUUUUGAAUAAUACUCGUGGAAGAGUUGUCCUGACACAGAUGCCACACUUGUGUUCAGUGGUUAACAUCUCAUAGGUCACUGUCCUGAAGGAGUGACAUAAUAUAUGUCACUAUGCAUGACAGACACUAUGCAUCUUGGGAAAUACUACAUAAAUUCAAGUUAUUACAAUUGUACAUGUGUAGAAUGGACUUGGUUCUUUUAUUUCAUUGUGUAUAUAUAUUGUGUAAUUUAUAAUGACUAAUGUGAAGUCAUACAGGGAACAAGCUUUGCAUUGGUCUUGUCUGCUCAAAAUGUUGACUGUGAUUCUGAUGCUGCUUUGCACAACAUUGUACAGCUGUCCUCUGCCUCUGACAGGCAAGAUGAUUCUCAGAACUAAGGCUGGACCUUCUGACUGCACUUCUCUGCUUUCUUCAGUGAGAUCCUCUUCUUCUGGAAGCUGGUUUCACAUGGUGGCUUAGAUUUUUCCAUCUUUGUAUCUAGCACCAUUUGAAAUCAGUGUUUUAGGAGUAAGAAUUGCAGCACAGCAGAGGUUAGGCUACAGAGAAGCAGCUGUACACAGGAUUGGCUCUCUCCUUCAAGAAGUCAAAGGAAGAAUUGGAACAGUGAAAUUUGCUCUUGAGUCUGUUUGGUUUAGAGGCAGUGAUAGUGGGCAAGUUGUUGUGUUCAAAAUAAAUGCAAGGGCAUGAUCAGGGGCAGGGAGUGAUCCACUUUAUCCAGCAUUCCAUGGGAGGGGGAGGGUGGCUUGGGCCUGGCUCUGUAAUUUUCAUCAUCAUUCAGUGAUGUUCUGGGUGUUGAUUGUAGCAGGAAAGGGAGAGUGCUCCGUACAUGGAGAACUGCUUCACCCACAUCAGUACUGCCUGCCUGUACCUGGAAGAUGCCUGGAGUACUUAGCCGUGGUUGCAACACAGCUGAAAUAAGACUUGUCACUUAUCUGCCUUGAGGUUCAGACCUGAAGACCACCACUGGCCUAUCUCUUACACAGGCUGACCGAUUUCUCCUGGUGUUCAGAGUCUAGUUUUUGUCUAGCACCAUUUGAAAUCGGUUAUGAUGUAGGGGGAAAAGCACCAGUCUCAGAGCCUCGUGGUGUCUGGUCAGCAGCAGCCUGUCGUUUCCUACACAGGCAGAGCAGAGAAGGAAGAUCGAAGUUUCCUAACUUCUUUAAUGCAUAUGUAUGUGGUGGCAGAAUUUAGAGAUAACUUAAUGGAGUUUCAAAAUUAAAUUGUUGUAAUUUAUCUGAUAUCCUCAGUUGCGCUUUCUGACAUGUGGUACAUGUUAAUUGUAUAAAUUGUUUGCUGUUGAACCGUCUUUCUGUUAAGAGUAUGUUCAUGCAUCCUGGCUUUAAUAAAUAAUUUGCUAUAUUCAGUUUA